UUUCUUGAUUUUUUUAAAACUUUACUUAUAAUAUAAAUGUCCCGCAAGGGAAGACGAUGCUGAAUGCUUUAUGAAAUAGGCUUUUUGGACUGGGGGGCGGUACCCCACAUCUCCACCAAUUUAAACUUUAUGGGGAUGAAAUAGUUUCGACAGGGGCUGAAAGAUAAAGAGUGUGUCCGGCGUGGUUGCCGCAAAAGACCAAAAAAAACUGAAUGGCGAUAAUUUCGCUGCGAACGACAAUGUUCGCUUUGCAAUGGCUGCCUAAUUGGCGUUAGAAUCCGUCGGCAAUUGUUGACGAUUCUGUUAAGCUUUUGCGGGGUUUGUCGGUACCUGGCACCAGAAACCGACUUUU
RNAcentral lists this transfer-messenger RNA (352 nucleotides) under Alphaproteobacteria bacterium. It matches the Rfam family "Alphaproteobacteria transfer-messenger RNA". From Rfam's summary of the family: Bacterial tmRNA, also known as 10Sa RNA or SsrA, is named for its dual tRNA and mRNA-like properties. The record is from RNAcentral. Lineage: Bacteria; Pseudomonadati; Pseudomonadota; Alphaproteobacteria.